UAAAAGUGUUAGGAGGUUCCC
RNAcentral lists this non-coding RNA (21 nucleotides) under Mus musculus (house mouse). Lineage: Eukaryota; Metazoa; Chordata; Mammalia; Rodentia; Muridae. The record is from RNAcentral.